GGGCCCUUAGCUCAGUUGGCUUAGAGCGCCACAUUUGCAAUGUGGAGGUCAAGGGUUCGAGCCCCUUAGGGUCCACCA
This 78-nucleotide transfer RNA is filed under the name Patescibacteria group bacterium. Its description in RNAcentral is "tRNA-Ala". It matches the Rfam family "tRNA". Rfam says of the family: Transfer RNA (tRNA) molecules are approximately 80 nucleotides in length. Their secondary structure includes four short double-helical elements and three loops (D, anti-codon, and T loops). Further hydrogen bonds mediate the characteristic L-shaped molecular structure. tRNAs have two regions of fundamental functional importance: the anti-codon, which is responsible for specific mRNA codon recognition, and the 3' end, to which the tRNAs corresponding amino acid is attached (by aminoacyl-tRNA synthetases). tRNAs cope with the degeneracy of the genetic code in two manners: having more than one tRNA (with a specific anti-codon) for a particular amino acid; and 'wobble' base-pairing, i.e. permitting non-standard base-pairing at the 3rd anti-codon position. The record is from RNAcentral. RNAcentral also lists the same sequence under 1 other name.